RNAcentral lists this small RNA (25 nucleotides) under Bombyx mori (domestic silkworm). RNAcentral's name for it is "ovarian small RNA-14465". Lineage: Eukaryota; Metazoa; Arthropoda; Insecta; Lepidoptera; Bombycidae. The record is from RNAcentral.
CGGAUGAACAAGGAGUUGCUGAUGG